RNAcentral lists this ribosomal RNA (117 nucleotides) under Pteropus alecto (black flying fox). Lineage: Eukaryota; Metazoa; Chordata; Mammalia; Chiroptera; Pteropodidae. The record is from RNAcentral.
AAUUAUAUUACACAUCCUGAACAAGCCCAAUCCCGUCUGAUUGCAGAAGCUAAGCAGAGUCGGGCCUGGUUAGUACUUGGAUGGGAGACUACCUAGGGAGACCAGGUGCUAUAGGUG